This 253-nucleotide ribosomal RNA is filed under the name uncultured bacterium. RNAcentral's name for it is "partial 16S ribosomal RNA". It matches the Rfam family "Bacterial small subunit ribosomal RNA", at positions 524 to 776 of the family's 1533-position model. The record is from RNAcentral.
UACGAAGGGGGUGAGCGUUGUUCGGAUUUACUGGGCGUAAAGGGCGCGUAGGCGGCGCGAGAAGUCGAGUGUGAAAGCCCCGGGCUCAACCUGGGAAUUGCGCUCGAUACUCUUGUGCUUGAGUUCGGGAGAGGAGCGUGGAAUUCCCAGUGUAGAGGUGAAAUUCGUAGAUAUUGGGAAGAACACCGGUGGCGAAGGCGGCGCUCUGGACCGAGACUGACGCUGAGGCGCGAAAGCGUGGGGAGCAAACAGG